UAGUANUUAUAAAUUUUUAUAACUAACCACCAGGGGAUUACAGAGUUACCUUUGAAACCCAAAGAGCUUGGCGGUACCUCAAACCCUAUUAGGGGAACCUGUUCUAUAAUCGAUAAUCCGCGCAGGACCUCACUCUUUUUACUUAGUCUGUAUACCGUCGUCGUCAGACAACUUUUAAGAAAACAGUAGUUCUCUACAAUAAACUAUUUAUAGACGUCAGAUCAAGGUGCAGCCGAUAGAAGAGAAAGAAAUGGGUUACAAUUUUAUAAUUAAAAUACGGAUUUUUAGUUGAAAAACUUCAAUGAAGGAGGACUUAAAAGUAAUUUUAAUAAGAAUGAAAAAAUGAAUAAGGCUCUGAGGUGUGU
RNAcentral lists this ribosomal RNA (365 nucleotides) under Nerita atramentosa. RNAcentral describes it as "partial 12S ribosomal RNA". It matches the Rfam family "Bacterial small subunit ribosomal RNA", at positions 875 to 1384 of the family's 1533-position model. Lineage: Eukaryota; Metazoa; Mollusca; Gastropoda; Cycloneritida; Neritidae. The record is from RNAcentral.